RNAcentral lists this ribosomal RNA (477 nucleotides) under uncultured Planctomycetota bacterium. RNAcentral's name for it is "bacterial SSU rRNA". It matches the Rfam family "Bacterial small subunit ribosomal RNA", at positions 365 to 832 of the family's 1533-position model. Lineage: Bacteria; Pseudomonadati; Planctomycetota. The record is from RNAcentral.
UUCGCAAUGCCCGAAAGGGUGACGAAGCGACGCCGCGUGUGGGAAGAAGGCCUUCGGGUUGUAAACCACUGUCGGGAGUUAAGAAAUGUAAGGAUGUUAAUAGCGUCCUUACUUGACUAAGGCUCCAGAGGAAGCCACGGCUAACUCUGUGCCAGCAGCCGCGGUAAGACGAACCGUGCGAACGUUGUUCGGAAUCACUGGGCCUAAAGAGCGCGUAGGCGGCCAAGCAAGUCAGAUGUGAAAUACCUCAGCCUAACCGAGGAACUGCAUUUGAAACUGCAUGGCUUGAGUACAGGAGGGGAGAGUGGAAUUCCUGGUGGAGUGGUGAAAUGCGUAGAUAUCAGGAGGAACGCCGGUGGCGAAAGCGGCUCUCUGGUCUGUUACUGACGCUGAGUGCGCGAAAGCUAGGGGAGCAAACGGGAUUAGAUACCCCGGUAGUCCUAGCCCUAAACGAUGGGCACUAAGUAGAGGGGUUUU